Molecule: ribosomal RNA, 393 nt
Filed under: uncultured bacterium
Lineage: Bacteria
Description: partial 16S ribosomal RNA
Rfam family: Bacterial small subunit ribosomal RNA
Source: RNAcentral
AUACGGAAGGUCCGGGCGUUAUCCGGAUUUAUUGGGUUUAAAGGGAGCGCAGGCGGAGAUGCAAGCGUGACGUCAAAUUUCGGGGCUCAACCCCGUCUCGCGUCGCGAACUGCGUCCCUUGGUUGCGGGAAGGGGAGGCGGAACUCGUGGUGUAGCGGUGAAAUGCAUAGAUAUCACGGAGAACUCCGAUCGCGAAGGCAGCCUUCCUGCCCGUCAACGACGCUCAUGCUCGAAGGUGCGGGUAUCAAACAGGAUUAGAUACCCUGGUAGUCCGCACAGUAAACGAUGGACACCCGCGGUUUGGCCUGUAUGGCUGAGCCGCCAAGCGAAAGCGUUAAGUGUCCCACCUGGGGAGUACGCCGGCAACGGUGAAACUCAAAGGAAUUGACGGGG